GGGGGCUUAGCUCAAUUGGGAGAGCGCCGCCUUUGCAAGGCGGAUGUUAUCGGUUCGACUCCGUUAGCCUCCA
RNAcentral lists this transfer RNA (73 nucleotides) under Crocinitomicaceae bacterium. RNAcentral's name for it is "tRNA-Ala". It matches the Rfam family "tRNA". Rfam says of the family: Transfer RNA (tRNA) molecules are approximately 80 nucleotides in length. Their secondary structure includes four short double-helical elements and three loops (D, anti-codon, and T loops). RNAcentral also lists the same sequence under 2 other names. Lineage: Bacteria; Pseudomonadati; Bacteroidota; Flavobacteriia; Flavobacteriales; Crocinitomicaceae. The record is from RNAcentral.